Long non-coding RNA from Oncorhynchus tshawytscha (Chinook salmon), 4315 nucleotides. The record is from Ensembl. NCBI's taxonomy places the organism in Eukaryota, Metazoa, Chordata, Actinopteri, Salmoniformes, Salmonidae.
CCUAAACAAAUGAAUCAACAACAUGCUGACCUUUAUACUGUCCUCUAAGCCUUUAGCAGAUUAUUAUAUUACUAACUGUUCUGGAUGUGAACUCGGGCCUGGACCAGAGAGUCCAGGAGAGGCUCCAAUAGACCGGGGGCAGAUUGGCUCAGCUGGGCUGGGUGAGGGGCCACCGGGCUGGGGGCCACAGCCUCACAUCUGAGCCUGGGGGGAACAGGCAGGCAGGAUGAGCUUCCUGUGGUCUUCAAUAGCCCUGGUGUAGGAUCCAGUUUGUGUAAGUGUCUGGCUCUGAACCACAGACUGGGUAGAGAUGAACCUUGACUGGAGAGAGAACAAAGUAGAUCUGAGAAUAAAUCCUUUGCACCUCACAAUGCUCUUCACAGGUAAUCUUGGUAAAAUAAUUUGGUUCAUUAAAAUCAUCUAUAAUUCACAAAACCUGGAGCUGAGACAUAGGGUAAUCUUAUAUAAUUUCCUAAUAAUGAACACUGCAAUUAAAAGGGAUGGACAUUCUCUGUUCUGUGUGGAUGCAGGACAGAGGGCACAGCAGAAGGACGCUGGCCAGGGGCUGAUGCUGUAAAGUGAGAACUUUUCAAAGGGGUUUAUUCUCCCAGGAUCCCUUUGGACCUCUUUCAGCAGUAAGAGCCCUACAGACAAUGAUCUGUUUCAGAAAGCAAAGUAGACUCUCCCUCAGUUUCUCCCUCCCUCCCUCUGUUUCUCUCAGUCUCCCUCUGUUCUCUGUUUGGGAAGAUUGGCAUGCCCUUGACAUGAUGACUGCUGGCCUGACUGUGUAACUGGACACUUCUUAUUCUGUAUUUAUGUAAGUGAGGGAGGUGUGGGGGUGAAGUACACACAAGGAGGAGGGACUAGCAUACGGUGGAUUUGUUUGUGUGUGAGAGCGCUUGUUAAUAGCAAGGAUGUGUGCAUAAGUGUUUGUGUGUCUGUAUGAACAGGUGUUGGUGUUUGGGUGUGUUCCUGACUCAAUUUGCCCUGUGGUUACUGUAUUUUUGUAUUAAUUUAUAGCAGUUCUAAUUAACAUGGAGCGUGUGUGCGUGCCCACCUGCUACCCUUCCCCAGAUCUUGGUAGGCUUGCCUCAUGUCCAUCAGGGUAUCCAUUGCGCUCUGGAAGGAGAGGGAGAGCCCCUUAUCUACAGGACCCAACACAGCCUGAGGUUUCCUUACGCUGAGAGAGCCAGCAGUUCCCUGACCACCUCCACAGGUCUGUAUUCCCAUGGCAACCGGACGUCCAGCUCCUCAAACAAGUCGACGUCCCUCACAGCCAGCAUUAGAGGGGUCAGCCCGUCGCGGUUCUGAGUGUUCACGUCUACUAGGUCAGUCUGGGCCUGCAACACAGACAUAGAGAUAUAGGCUCAGCACUGGUGCCUGAGAGUUACACAUUACGAACAAAGAAAGGUCAAAUGACAAAUGUCCUGGAGAUGAUUACAGAUGGAAUGCUCAUAGCUGCUUCGGCUGCAUCCAUACAAUGCUGUCCUUUGUGCUAAUCUAAACUCUAGCCUACCCUGUUGUUAGGAAAGCACCUGGUGCUGUGUGUCACAUUUCCAGUUACACAAUGUAAAGGGUGUUGGGAGUGAUAUCAGUGGCGGUGGCAGUGACUGUGUGCGCGAUUGGUGUGUGCUUGUGCGCGUGUGUGUGUGGUCUAUGGUGGGGUGUUGUAAAGGAGUUUUGGGGGGAGGCGGACUUACCAGAAGGUGCUGCAGGGAGUGGAGGUCUCCCUGCCAAGCAGCCUGGAGGAGCUGGGUCUGGUGGGGCAAAGCCCUGAACAUGGCUGAUAACAGCACCCCCUGGAGGACUGGAAGACUCACAUGCAGUGGUGUCUGGUUGCUAUGGUUGCACAGAGUUACAUCGGCUCCUCUUUUCAGAAGGAAGUGUACAACCUGACAACAAAAUUUACAUUAAAAUACCCCCCCCCCCCUCCUAUGUUUUAUUGGUAGGGUAGGGUUAAUGACAUGCUUUGGUCCCCUAUUUCAAAAUGGCAAAGGUCAAGUAAAUGACAGCCAGCAUAAUAGUAUGGGGUUUAUUGCAUGUUUUCUCACUGUACAUAGUACGAUGCCAUGUUUUGCUUUGGCAACAGUGAAAUCUGUUAAAUCAUACAGAGUCAAAACAAAAGCCAGAAAGACCCAACUCCUGGGACACAUGUAAACAAUUGUUUCCCUGUGGCCUUAGACACACUACUAACAAAUUAAUGUGGUUGUUUUGAUAGUGUAUCUCCAGAGAAUGAUCAUGGGUCUUCACCCCCCUCAAUGUCACAUGACACCAUGUUAUUGGGAAGAAAAAUAAAUACUCUCAAAUUUUUCAUCGGUCAACACCUGUGUUUAAAUGGAUUGUUCACAUCCUCACAGUAUGUUAAACUGUUUUUGAUUUAAAUAUUCCUUCAUUCACACAGUGAUGCUUUUAUUGAAUAUAGAUUACAAUGUGCAAGACUAAUAGACAUGCAACCACAUAAACAGAACAAAGUCUGUAUAAAGCAUAUCAGCCAUGCUGUGUUUCCAUUCAAAUAUAAAGGCUUAUUCACUAACAAUAAGAAUACUAAUCACAUCAGUUCAGUCAAAGGGUCACUGAAGCAGACUAACAUACCAGACAGACCUCCCCCUAAACCAAAUUCCCCUCCCCCAAUGGUGCUUACCUCAGUCAAGCCCCUCUGGCAGGCAGUGAUAAGGGGAGUACAGCCCCCCUCCAUGCGGGGAACAUCCACCUCCUCCCAGGGACAAUCUCCCAGCUCCUCCAGCCCCAGGCCUACCACCUCCAGCUCUCCCCUCAGCACCUCAAUACCAGCCCCCAGAACCCUUUUCUCACUACUCUCCAUCAUCCACAAGGGUCCUGUUGGCGAGAAUAGAAGCCAGAAGGAUGAAUGUAAGAGAUAACAGUGAAGGUUGUUUUGUUGCUCUGUAGCUUGCUGCCUUUCAGCUUGGUUUGUUUGCUGUGGACACUUGGUUCAUGGUUACUCUCCUCUUUCAAGAUCUGGUCCCUCCACGUAUGGUGUGGGGCUUCAGCAGGUUUAUGUUGACUGUUGAUGCAAGCCUCUAGGGCUCUCCAUCCCUGUUCCUUCAGAGCUACCGUUCAGUAGGUUUUCACUCCAACCCUAAUCUAGCGCACCUGCUCAAAAUAAUUACUAUAAUAUCAUAAGCUCCAGUAGGAGAGGUGGAGUGGAGGACAUUUCCUCUCGUUACUGUAUCAUGUGUAUCAGAGAAUGACUGCCUCUCACAUGGUAUCCUAUAUCCCCUAUACUAGCGGUAUUAAACGCUUACCCUACAAGGUCUAGAGCCUCCUGGUUUUCUGUUCUACCUGAUAAUUAAUUUCACACACCUAGAAUCCCCUCUAAAUUAGAGGGGAACAAUGGAGAAAAAGCAGUGGAACUGGCUUUGAUGUCCAGAGUUGUGUUUGAGGGCCCUAUACAGUGUAAUGCUUUUGAUGCAGGGCCCCUGGUCAAAAGUAAUGCACUACGGUGCCUACACAUAAUACCCCAUAGUGUUGAAUUAUGUUGUUAGACAUUUCAGCUUUUCAUUUUUUUGUAAACAUGUCUAUCUGCCUCACAAAGAAGGGCACCUAUUGAUAGAUGGGUAAAAAAUAAAAAGCAAUAAUUGAAUAUCCAUCUGAGCAUGGUGAAGUUAUUAAUUACACUUUGGAUGGUGUAUCAAUACACCCAGUCACUACAUAAAUACAGGCGUCUGUCUUAACAGUUGCCAGAGAGGAAGGAAACUUCUCAGGGAUUUCACCAUGAGGCCAAUGGUGACUUUAAAACAGUUACAGAGUUGAAUGGCUGUGAUUGAAGAAAACUGAGGAUGGAUCAACAUUUUUGUUACUCCACAAUACUAACCUAAAUGACAGAGUAAAAAGAAAGAAGUCUGUACAGAAUACAAAUAUUCCAAAACAUGCAUUGUUUGCAAUAAACCACUGAAGUAAAAAUGCAAUAAAUGUGGCAAAGAAAUUAACUUUAUGUCCUGAAUACAAAGUGUUAUGUUUGGGUCAAAUCCAAAACAACACAUUACUGAAUACCACUCUACAUAUGUUCAAGUGGUGGCUGCAUCAUGUUAUGGGUAUGCUUGUAAUCGUUAAGGACUGGGGAGUUUUUCACAAUAAAAAUGUUUACGGAAUAGAGCUAAGCACAGGCAAAAUCCCAGAGAAAAACCUGGUUGUCUGCUUUCCACCAGACACUGGGAGAUGAAUUCAUCUUUCAGCAGGACAAUAACUUAAAACACAAGGCCAAAUCUACACGAGUCGCUUACAAAGAGGACAGUGCAUGUUCCUGAGUGGCUGAGUUCCAGUUUUGACUUAAAUCUGCAUGAAAAUCUUAGGCAAG